AACGAACGCUGGCGGCAUGCCUAACAUAUGCAAGUCGAACGAGACCUUCGGGUCUAGUGGCGCACGGGUGCGUAACGCGUGGGAACCUGCCCUUAGGUUCGGAAUAACUCCCCGAAAGGGGUUCUAAUACCGGAUAAUUUCUUCGGACCAAAGAUUUAUCGCCUUUGGAUGGGCCCGCGUUGGAUUAGCUAGUUGGUAGGGUAAAAGCCUACCAAGGCGACGAUCCAUAGCUGGUCUGAGAGGAUGAUCAGCCACACUGGGACUGAGACACGGCCCAGACUCCUACGGGAGGCAGCAGUGGGGAAGAUUGGACAAUGGGCGAAAGCCUGAUCCAGCAAUGCCGCGUGAGUGAUGAAGGCCUUAGGGUUGUAAAGCUCUUUUACCCGGGAUGAUAAUGACAGUACCGGGAGAAUAAGCUCCGGCUAACUCCGUG
This 433-nucleotide ribosomal RNA is filed under the name uncultured bacterium. RNAcentral describes it as "partial 16S ribosomal RNA". It matches the Rfam family "Bacterial small subunit ribosomal RNA", at positions 29 to 507 of the family's 1533-position model. The record is from RNAcentral.